GCAUUUGAGCUAAAGCAAGGGAAGCAUUUCCCCUUCCCCUGGCUGAAAGCUCAGCUGACCCCGAGGCUCUUCUGGUCAUGCUUAGAGUGGGCCCUACAUCCAAUGACUGGUGUUCUCAUAAGGAGAGAGAGACAAAGAGUAGACAGACACAAGGGAGAAGGCCGUGUGAAGAUGGAGACAGAGAUUGGAAUGAUACAGCCACAAGCCAAGAAACAUCUGCGGCCGUCAGAAGUUGGAAGAGGCAAGGAAUGAUUUAUUCUUUCCCACUCAUUGUUUCACCAAUGAGCACCUUCCAUGUGCCACCGUUCUGACCCUGCUGACAAUGUGGUUUCAGACUUCUGGCCCCCAGAACUGUGAAAGAGUAAAUUUCUGUUAAGUUAUCUUGCUUGUGGUACUUUGUUACAGCAGCCCUGUGGAUCUAAUAUAGUCAUAAGAGACAUUGUGACCUCCUCCCUGCUCUCUUGAACCACUCAUUCUGGGAGAAGUCAGCUGCCAUGUCAUGAAGCUACUCAGGGAGGUCCAUGGAGAGGUCCACAUGGCAAGGAACUGAGGCCUCCUGCCAGUAGCCAGCACCAUCUUGCUGGCCAUGUGAGCGUGCCAUCUUAGAUGCAGAUCAUACGGCCCCAGUCAAGCCUUCAAAUGACUGCAUCCCUACUUGACAUUUUGACUGUAACCUCAUGACAAACCCUAAGCCAGAACACCAGCUAAGCCACUCCCCAAUUCCUCAUCAAGAGAAACUGAGAUAAUAAAUGUUUAUUAUUGUUUUAAGCUACUAAAUUUUGAGGUAAUCUGUUAUGUAGCAAUAGAUAACUAAUACUGAUAUCUGUCAUAUUGGGGCCUCAGUGUAACUUGGAACAGAAAGAGUUCCAUAUUAUAAUUCUUAAACAUUACUUGGAAUGGUUAGGGGCCCCAGUGCUAUUCUCUCUGGGGAUAUUUCCAGCAAUGGGCCCCACAGCCAUUUAUAGUGAGUUGUCCCACUUACUCUUUCACCAGUGAGCACUUUCCAUGUGUCAGAUGCCAUAUUAGAGACUGGGGCUAUAGAAAUGAACAGUCUUUUGGGAGGCCGAGGCAGGUGGAUCACCUGAGGUCAAGAAUUUGAGACCAGUCUGACCAACAUGGAGAAACCCCGUCUCUACUAAAAAAAAAAAAAAUACAAAAUUAGCUGGGUGUGGUGGUGCAUGCCUGUAAUCCCAGCUACUUGGGAGGCUGAGGCAGGAGAAUCACUUGAACCUGAGAGGCGGAGGUUGUGGUAAGCCAAGAUUACACCAUUGCACUCCAGCCUGGGCAACAAGAGUGAAAUUCCAUCUCAAAAAAAGAAAAAAAAGAAAUGAACAGCCCUGUUCUUAAUCACUUAACCAGUGGUCAUUAUGGUCUCUGCUAGUAGAGCACUAUGGGCAAGAAGGACAGCACUGCUUUGCAGGGAAGGGAAAAGAGAGACAUCACUGAGGCACUGAAGAGGAGAAGCAUUCAGUGGUAUGACCUUGAAGAGACAAGAAGAGGACCAAGUUCAAGAGUCUGCAAGAACAGUGGGAGGUAGAGCUGGAACUAGAAUCCAGACACCCCACUUCUAGUCUUGAAUUUGCGCUUCCUGAACUACACAGAGGCUGGCUCAUGGUACCAGGGUCUCUAAAGAUACCUGGAGGCAUGAACUUGAAUCCUGCUGGGAUACUACUCUUUGAAUAAUAAUUUCUCUAUGGAAAGGCAGGGUACAAAGUCUUGGAAUCUUGUUUCUGCUCUGCCAUCUUAGCUAAAUAACUCCCUUUGGAGAUCCUUUGAACCCUGAUAGAUCAGCAAGCCCCCUCUGAAACAUCAUAAGCCUCAGGGCAAGAAGGCUGGCCUUCUCCUCCAUCUGAAUCCCAGCCCUUCUUUUUUUGAGAUGGAGUUUUGCUCUUGUUGCCCAGGCUGGAGUGCAAUGGCGCGAUCUCGGCUCACCACAACCUCUGCCUCCUGGGUUCUAGCGAUUCUCCUGCCUCAGCCUCCUGAGUAGCUGGGAUUACAGGCAUGCAAAACCAUGCCCUGCUAAUUUUGUAUUUUAAGUAGAGACAGGGUUUCUCCAUGUUGGAAAGGCUGGUCUUGAACUCUCGACUUCAGGUGAUCCGCCCGCCUCUAGCCCUUCUUAGUAGUGGUGUUUUCUAAACAGGUUAGAUAAGAAUUUGACACCUGCUGAAAUCUCCAGGCUGGCUCCUCCCAAGGUCAAAUUGCACAUCUUGCCAACGAGAACAGCCUUCACUUCUUGAGCAUCUACUCAGCAGCAAGUGAUUUCUCUAAUCUUCACAACACCCUCUCAAGGCAAGGGAUCAUGGGCCACACUUGGCAAUCUAGGAAAGUGAAGUUCAAGAACAAGCCCCAGGACACACAGCUAGUGACAGCGAGGCACAGAGCUGGGAUUCCAACCCAGGCCUGUCUAACCCUAAAGCUCCUCCUAUCCACCUCCUCCUUGCUGCCACAGAAGGUGACUCAGAGGUACUCAGUCUGGAGAAUUCAAGCCAGUAUCCCAGGAAGUGGAAUUUUCUCCAGUGUUCUAGGAAGGAGGGAUUACCAUGGCAUGGGGUGGGCCAGGUAGACACAAGAGGCAGUGAAGGUGCAUAAAGUGGUGAUUAAAGGGAAUGGAGUCUACUGUGGUUUGGAUAUGGUUGCGUCAACCUAAACUCAUGUUGAAAUUUGACCCUCGGUGUGGUGGUGGUGGGAGGUGGGGCCUAGUGGGAGGUGUCUGGGUCAUGGGGGCAGAUCUCUCAUGAAGGGCUUAGUGCCAUCCUCACAGUGGAGAGUGAGUUUUCACCCUGGCAAGACUGGAUUCUUGUAGGAAUGGAUUUGUUCCCAAGACAGUGGGUUGUUAUAAAGCCAGGAUGCCCCUUGGGUUUUCCCUUCUUUGCAAGUGUUCACUCUCCCUUUGACCUUCUGUAUGUCGCAGCCCUCACCAGAGGCUGAGCAGAUGCUGAGGCCAUGCUUCUUGAUUCUCCCAGCCAACAGAUCUGAUGUCACUAUCAAUCACGCUUCGACUGAGUACAGCCAAACCAGGAUACUCAGGGACUUGGAAUCUGUUACCAGACUUUUAUUUAGUACAGACACAGCGCCAGGGGGCUGAGCAUUCUUCAGCAACACCCUUUGGACCCCUUUCUACACCAUCAUGCUGUAUGAACAGAAGGGUUGGGGACAUGAAGGAGCAGCUCAGCUAAGGUGACCCAGAUGGUUGGGCUCAGAGCUGGAAGAACACCGUGGUCUUCUGACUCCCAAUUCCUGCAUCUGUCCUGCUUGUAAGAGGCUUGCCAAGAACAGGAGCUUUUGUUUGUAGGUCUCUAGGGAUGGCCACCACAGGGAGUGUGAUUUGAAGAUGGGGUCGGCGUGACAUUACAGGCCCCCUUUAGGCUCUGCUGGGUUGCAGGCCAGCUCUCUGGGCUGCCUUUCUGAUGGCUGCUAUUUUAAAGGCAGAUAGGAUGAAGUUAGCAACAACUUAUAUCAUUAAACUAGCAAGGGCUCAGGAGGGGCAGCCCCCUUCUGGGAAUGUGCCUAGCUCCUGCUCCAGAAUGGAGGAGUUUCUGUGGCUCUAGGAGAGCUGGCCUUCUAUGGAGUCUGAGCAAUGUACCGCACGGGGAGGAGAAGACGCUUCCAGAAGAUACCAGUGUUUCUAUCCAGAGACGUUUCCAGGACACCACGUUAAGCAGCAGAGACACUAGAAGCCAAGGCACCUAUGGUCUGGUGUGGAUGUGUGCCUCCUGUGCCUCAGUGGCAUCAUCCGUACCAUGGGAGGUGUGUAAUGAGGGGUGAGAUCACGUCUGUGAGGGCACGUACAUAGUAGAUGCCCAGGAAGUGCCAGUCCCCAUCUCCUUCCCAGUUUCUUCAAAGCCUUCUGGAAGGCACUGGCAUAGCCCAGUCCUGAGGCACUGCUUUUUCUUUCAUGGAUGAUCAGGAGCUUCUGUGAUUUCUUCCCCCUCACUCUUCAUUUUGCCAAGAUGUUGCCCAUAGUAACCUCAGCAGUGGAGCGAGGAUUCUGCACUGUUCCACUGCCCUGGGGCUGCACACCCACGUGAGCGGGGCCGACCCGUCCCAGAGCGCUUUGCCCUCAGAAGGCAGCAUCACCUGCAGGAGCAAUGCCAUGGACAGCUCUGGCUUGUCCUCCAGGGCCCUGGCAUGGUCAGUGAGAAAAUGCCCCUGGGGCAUGGGCUUCUCCUGUCAGUCAAGUUCAGAAGGCUUCCUGGGGUAGGUAGAGACGCUCCCUACCCAGCUGAGUUAUUGAAAUGAUAGGAGGGAGAAGGGAAGGUCUGGGCAUGUGGCACUGUGAUUUUUUUUUCUUUCUUCUUUUUUUUUUUUUUUUUUUUUGGAGACUCGGGGUAGAAAUGAGGACAGGAAGAAGUACAAUCCGUCUGGGAUUGGUUUAUUUUUAUUGCUUUUUAAAAUCAUGUGACUAAUUGGUGUUCAUUGAAAAAGAGAAAACAAAAAUAAGCCAAGAGAAGACAGCAAAAAUAAUCUGUUAACAUCUUGGCAAAUAUCCUUUUUCUCUGCAUAGAAACGGAGAAUACUUUUGUUUCACUUAUAAAAUGUUUCUUAAUGUACACAGCUUUAUAACCUGCUUUUUGCUUAAUGGGACAAUAUACUAGGACAUGUUUUCAGGCCAACAGAUAAAUAUACUUCACUUGCAU
Molecule: long non-coding RNA, 4637 nt
Filed under: Homo sapiens (human)
Lineage: Eukaryota; Metazoa; Chordata; Mammalia; Primates; Hominidae
Description: non-protein coding LINC02289:42
Source: RNAcentral